UCCCAUAUGAUCUAGUGGUUAGGAUUUGGCGCUUUCACCGCCAAGGCCCGGGUUCAAUUCCCGGUGUGAGAA
This 72-nucleotide transfer RNA is filed under the name Saccoglossus kowalevskii. RNAcentral describes it as "tRNA-Glu". It matches the Rfam family "tRNA". From Rfam's summary of the family: Transfer RNA (tRNA) molecules are approximately 80 nucleotides in length. Lineage: Eukaryota; Metazoa; Hemichordata; Enteropneusta; Harrimaniidae. The record is from RNAcentral.